AUGCUUAACACAUGCAAGUCGAACGGUGUCUUCGGACAUAGUGGCGUACGGGUGAGUAACGCGUGAGAAUCUAGCUUCAGGUCUGGGACAACCACUGGAAACGGUGGCUAAUACCGGAUGUGCCGGAAGGUGAAAGGCUUGCUGCCUGAAGAUGAGCUCGCGUCCGAUUAGCUAGUAGGUGGGGUAAGAGCCUACCUAGGCGACGAUCGGUAGCUGGUCUGAGAGGAUGACCAGCCACACUGGGACUGAAACACGGCCCAGACUCCUACGGGGGGCAGCAGUGGGGAAUUUUCCGCAAUGGGCGAAAGCCUGACGGAGCGAUGGCGAAAAAAAAAGGAAGGCUCUUGGGUUGUAAACCUCUUUUCUCAGGGAAGGAACACAAUGACGGUACCUGAGGAAUCAGCAUCGGCUAACUCCGUGCCAGCAGCCGCGGUAAUACGGAGGAUGCAAGCGUUAUCCGGAAUGAUUGGGCGUAAAGCGUCCGCAGGUGGCUGUGUAAGUCUGCUGUCAAAGAGCAAAGCUCAACUUUGUAAAGGCAGUGGAAACUACACGGCUAGAGUGCGUUCGGGGCAGAGGGAAUUCCUGGUGUAGCGGUGAAAUGCGUAGAGAUCAAGAAGAACACCGGUGGCGAAGGCGCUCUGCUAGGCCGCAACUGACACUGAGCGACGAAAGCUAGGGGAGCGAAAAGGAUUAGAUACCCCAGUAGUCCUAGCUGUAAACGA
This 722-nucleotide ribosomal RNA is filed under the name uncultured bacterium. RNAcentral's name for it is "bacterial SSU rRNA". It matches the Rfam family "Bacterial small subunit ribosomal RNA", at positions 44 to 809 of the family's 1533-position model. The record is from RNAcentral.